GUGCUCACUUUGGCAGUACAUAUACUACAAUUGGAACAAUACAGAGAUUGGCAUGGCCCCUACGUAAGGAUGACAAGCAAAUUCAUGAAGCAUUCCAUAUUUUU
Small nuclear RNA from Cercocebus atys (sooty mangabey), 104 nucleotides. NCBI's taxonomy places the organism in Eukaryota, Metazoa, Chordata, Mammalia, Primates, Cercopithecidae. The record is from Ensembl.